This 727-nucleotide long non-coding RNA is filed under the name Parus major (Great Tit). RNAcentral's name for it is "lncRNA (ENSPMJG00000016802.1)". The record is from RNAcentral. Lineage: Eukaryota; Metazoa; Chordata; Aves; Passeriformes; Paridae.
CAGAGAUGCUCAGAGGGCUGGAGCACUUCUGCUAUGGAGUCAGGCUGAGAGAGCUGGGUGUGUUCAGCCUGGAGAGGAGAAAGCUCCAGAACACCUUCCAGUGCCUAAAGGGGUUACAGGAGAGCUGAGAGGGACUUUGAACAGGGGCAUGGAGUGACAGGACAAGGGGGAAUGGCUUCAAACAAGAAGGCAGGUUUAGACUGGAUAUUGGGAAUAAAUUGUUCCCUGUGAGGAUGAUGAAGCCCUGGCACAGGCUGCCCAAAGAAACCAUGGAUGCCCCAUCCCUGGAAGUGCUUGAGGCCAGUAAAGCCACCAAAGCAUUGCAAUUCCGAUUUGAGAAACAAAUGGAGCCACAGACCUUCGUCACAUCUCAGCAGAAAAUCAUUCAGAUCUUCCUGGAGUCCCCUUGGAGACCAGGGUGUCCAUGGCAGAUUCCUGUGGCUCCUGUACACUGGUGAAGAUGCUGAGAGGAAUGAGGGCAUUUUGACUGUCCCAUGCUGUAGAAGGCUUAAUUCUUAAUUACUAAUUAAUUCUUUAUGAGUCUUUUGUUAGCCUUGCCAAAUUCAACAGUCACAUUAAUGAUAGGUAUCUCUCCAAACUGGAAUUUGUUUCAAUUGUGUUUUAUUUUUAAGAAGAUGAGUGAACCCACAAGAAUUCCCUCUGCAGGAUACAUCUUCAGUCAUUUCACCACUCCUAAGAAUAAACUAACUCCCUGCUGAGUUAUUCA